UCCUGUUUGCAAGUGUGGCUUACGGAAAACAAAAAAAAAAAAAGUGGUUUUUCUUUCUUCAUGUGGCUGUGUGCGUGAGACGCGAGAGCGAACUCCCUCCAGCGAACAGAAGCGGGGUUGUUUCUGCUGUGCCGAAGAAGACCGACGGGAAGGAGUUCCGAGCGAUUCAACCAGGCAGCAAUUGGCGGAACGGGAAGAAGAAACUGUAUAGAGUUUCUGUCCUUGGCUUACGCAAGGGAACAGAAGAAGAAUUUACAGGCAUCCUUAUUGAUUAAUUUUUCUUUUCUGAUUUCUUCUGUUUUGGUUGGCUCUCAGGUAGAGAGUAGAGAAAGAAGAAAAAGAGAGAUUUUUCUGAAGUGAUCAAACGGUGUAUCCUCUGCAACUCCUUGGAUGUAGAUAUGCCUGUCAACCUUGCAAACUCUGAUAAUAUUUCCUGAAUAAAGAAACAGCUCCAGAAAGGCCGGAGGAGCAAAGGACCCACUUGCAAGGCAAUCCAGCAGGCCACGCCCACAAGCUAUUCUUAUCAUUAGUCGUC
Long non-coding RNA from Phalaenopsis equestris, 535 nucleotides. RefSeq lists it as uncharacterized. The record is from RefSeq and is a predicted model, not a curated record. The transcript is spliced from 3 exons. NCBI's taxonomy places the organism in Eukaryota, Viridiplantae, Streptophyta, Magnoliopsida, Asparagales, Orchidaceae.